AUGGAUUCUGUGCGGGUGCGGUUGGCCAUAGCGUCUGUGACAGCCGGCGCCAACGCACACUUGCUGGACGACUUCAAGGCGACGCUGCCCAACCAGGCGUCGCUCGACGGCUGGACCGCGCGCGACGGUGCCUGCAGGUUCCCCGACGCGGUAUGCAGGGGCAAGCGCCUCACGUCGCUCUCGCUCUCCACCGUCCUACUCAAUACCGACAUCCGCGCGGUCGCGGCCACCCUGCUGCAGCUCAGCGGCGUCGAGAGGCUCAGCCUCCGCGGGGCCAACGUCAGCGAUGCGCUCGCAACGGCGGCCGCGGCAGCAAGCUCGAGGUGCUCGACCGCUCCGGAAAUCCCGUGUUGCGCGGUUCAGUCGCCGACGUGGCCGCGCUCUCCGGUUCCUGCAGCGGGCAAGUCGUUGAAUCUGUUCGGUGAUGCAGUUGGUGCAGCCAAGGACGCUGGUGGUGGCGGGCAGGGGUUUGCGGCCCUGGACGGCUAG
Molecule: ribosomal RNA, 489 nt
Filed under: Triticum aestivum (bread wheat)
Lineage: Eukaryota; Viridiplantae; Streptophyta; Magnoliopsida; Poales; Poaceae
Description: partial small subunit ribosomal RNA
Source: RNAcentral